GGAGAGGUGCCUGAGAGGCCGAAAGGGGCGGUCUCGAAAACCGUUGUCCCCUUGCGGGGACCGUGGGUUCGAAUCCCACCCUCUCCG
This 87-nucleotide transfer RNA is filed under the name Candidatus Zixiibacteriota bacterium. Its description in RNAcentral is "candidate division Zixibacteria bacterium (sediment metagenome) tRNA-Ser". It matches the Rfam family "tRNA". From Rfam's summary of the family: Transfer RNA (tRNA) molecules are approximately 80 nucleotides in length. Lineage: Bacteria; Pseudomonadati; Candidatus Zixiibacteriota. The record is from RNAcentral.